Molecule: non-coding RNA, 814 nt
Organism: Procambarus clarkii (red swamp crayfish)
Lineage: Eukaryota; Metazoa; Arthropoda; Malacostraca; Decapoda; Cambaridae
Source: RefSeq, a predicted model, not a curated record
AGAGGACGUCAGAUAUUGGUGGAUUUAGAUUGCGCUGUUUUUAAGAGUUAUUUUUUGCAAAUUACAAAUAUUAUAGUACAAGCACGGCUCCUUGCGUCACCUACAUGACCAUUAUCAUCAAACUUUAGGACUCCUUUCUUCUUGACCGCGCUGUGGGAUAAGAGGUAUACAGAUCUCUUAAGCAAACAAGUGCUUCGUGAAUCCUCGAGCUGGUCUUCCACUUGUGACCCCAAGCCUCGCUCCCUUCCCAUCACAGGUUGAGAACGUGUCAUCCGACGAAGUGUGGCUUCACUGGACCCCCAACUUGUCUAGGACUCGCCCGUCUGGGUACAUCGUCAGGUACCAGAGGAUCGGGGCCGCCGAGUACCAGUAUGUGAACGUGAGCGGGGGAGAGAGAACGUCGGUGGUGGUGGAGGAGCUGGCAGCCGGCACCAGGUACUCCAUCAGCCUGCAGGCCUACAACCCGCAGGGACUCUCUCAACACACUCACCCUCUCACCACCACCACACUCGGUGUGGCCGAGAGUGCCAGUAGCAGCACGAGCAGCAGCGAGGGAGGAGGGAGGUCGAGGGUGCCGCGACUCAUCCUACUCAUCAUGACGCUGGCAGGCACGGCGCUCCUUGCACUCAACAUGGCUAUCAUCGCCUGUUUCGUCCGCCGUCGGGCGGCCCACAACGCCAGAGGAGUCUCAGCAUCCUCCAGCAAGACGACGACACUGGAGGUGUUCAGCCCAGCGACCACCCCCGGAGGCACCACCCAGGGGGACGAACUACCCCUCACCACCACAACAACCACCACCACCGACCUCACCACC